This 366-nucleotide ribosomal RNA is filed under the name Triticum aestivum (bread wheat). RNAcentral describes it as "partial small subunit ribosomal RNA". Lineage: Eukaryota; Viridiplantae; Streptophyta; Magnoliopsida; Poales; Poaceae. The record is from RNAcentral.
AUGUUCCGCCGCCCAGUCGUCGUGUCCACACUGCGCAGCCUCCGCCACCCGAUCGGCCUACAUCUAGCAAAGUUGAGACCAGGUAGGACGAGGAGGAAGCAUAGAGGGAGACUGCGGGACGAAGAGGAGAUCUCGGUCAGCAUGCAACCUACACACCAACACCAUCCCAGCUCGUGUGCCGACUCGAGCCAGUUUUGUAGCCGCCAAGGGAAGUACAAAGAUGGCGUCGAGGCUUGGGCGUGUGGCCGUCGACGUGGAGCAGGCAGAGGAGGAGCGACUACUACCCCAACGGCAGCCUCUCCUCCCUUGUCCACGGACAUGCAAAGCACAACAACCAACAGCAGACGACACCUCCUCCAAAGCUAG